RNAcentral lists this ribosomal RNA (899 nucleotides) under uncultured bacterium. RNAcentral describes it as "bacterial SSU rRNA". It matches the Rfam family "Bacterial small subunit ribosomal RNA", at positions 8 to 916 of the family's 1533-position model. The record is from RNAcentral.
AGAGUUUGAUCCUGGCUCAGGAUGAACGCUGGCGGCGUGCCUAAUACAUGCAAGUCGAACGAGGUGCUCUUGUAGCAAUACGAGGGUAUCCUAGUGGCGAACGGGUGAGUAACGCGUUGGUGACCUGCCCCAAAGUGUGGGAUAACAGUCCGAAAGGAUUGCUAAUACCGCAUGUGGUCCUCGGAUUUAGAAACCGAUGACUAAAGCCGCAAGGCGCUUUGGGAGGGACCUGCGUCCCAUCAGCUAGUUGGUGAGGUAACGGCCCACCAAGGCUACGACGGGUAGGGGACCUGAGAGGGUGGCCCCCCACAAUGGAACUGAAACACGGUCCAUACACCUACGGGUGGCAGCAGUAGGGAAUAUUGCACAAUGGGCGAAAGCCUGAUGCAGCAACGCCGCGUGAGCGAUGAAGGCCUUCGGGUCGUAAAGCUCUUUUCUGGGAGAUGAGAAAGGACAGUAUCCCAGGAAUAAGUCUCGGCUAACUACGUGCCAGCAGCCGCGGUAACACGUAGGAGGCGAGCGUUAUCCGGAUUCACUGGGCGUAAAGCGCGUGCAGGCGGUUCGGUAAGUUAGGCGUGAAAUCUCCCGGCUCAACUGGGAGAGGUCGUCUAAUACUACCGAACUUGAGAGCGAUAGAGGAAAAUGGAAUUCCCGGUGUAGUGGUGAAAUGCGUAGAUAUCGGGAGGAACACCAGUGGCGAAAGCGAUUUUCUGGAUCGUUUCUGACGCUCAGACGCGAAAGCUAGGGUAGCAAACGGGAUUAGAGACCCCGGUAGUCCUAGCUGUAAACGAUGUGAACUUGGCGUUGGUGGCUUAAACUCCAUCAGUGCCGAAGCUAACGCGAUAAGUUCACCGCCUGGGGACUACGGCCGCAAGGUUAAAACUUAAAGGAAUUGACGG